This 450-nucleotide ribosomal RNA is filed under the name uncultured bacterium. RNAcentral's name for it is "partial 16S ribosomal RNA". It matches the Rfam family "Bacterial small subunit ribosomal RNA", at positions 338 to 795 of the family's 1533-position model. The record is from RNAcentral.
CCUACGGGGGGCUGCAGUGGGGAAUUUUGGACAAUGGGGGCAACCCUGAUCCAGCCAUGCCGCGUGAGUGAAGAAGGCCUUCGGGUUGUAAAGCUCUUUCGGCCGGGAAGAAAUCGCGCCUUCUAAUACGGGGUGUGGAUGACGGUACCGGAAGAAGAAGCACCGGCUAACUACGUGCCAGCAGCCGCGGUAAUACGUAGGGUGCGAGCGGUAAUCGGUAUUACUGGGCGCGGAGGGUGCGCAGACGGCGGAAAUCCCCGGGCUUAACCUGGGAACUGCGGUUGUGACUGUGGUGCUUGAGUGCGGCAGAGGGGGGUGGAAUUCCACGUGUAGCAGUGAAAUGCGUAGAGAUGUGGAGGAACACCGAUGGCGAAGGCAGCCCCCUGGGUCGACACUGACGCUCAUGCACGAAAGCGUGGGGAGCAAACAGGAUUAGAUACCCGUGUAGUC